GGGCCCAUAGCUCAGUUGGUUAGAGCAGCGGACUCAUAAUCCGUUGGUCCCUGGUUCGAGUCCAGGUGGGCCCACCA
This 77-nucleotide transfer RNA is filed under the name Bermanella sp. RNAcentral describes it as "tRNA-Ile". It matches the Rfam family "tRNA". Rfam says of the family: Transfer RNA (tRNA) molecules are approximately 80 nucleotides in length. The record is from RNAcentral. RNAcentral also lists the same sequence under 3 other names. Lineage: Bacteria; Pseudomonadati; Pseudomonadota; Gammaproteobacteria; Oceanospirillales; Oceanospirillaceae.